GAUGAACGCUGGCGGCGUGCCUAAUACAUGCAAGUCGAGCGAACAGACGAGGAGCUUGCUCCUCUGACGUUAGCGGCGGACGGGUGAGUAACACGUGGAUAACCUACCUAUAAGACUGGGAUAACUUCGGGAAACCGGAGCUAAUACCGGAUAAUAUAUUGAACCGCAUGGUUCAAUAGUGAAAGACGGUUUUGCUGUCACUUAUAGAUGGAUCCGCGCCGCAUUAGCUAGUUGGUAAGGUAACGGCUUACCAAGGCAACGAUGCGUAGCCGACCUGAGAGGGUGAUCCGCCACACUGGAACUGAGACACGGUCCAGACUCCUACGGGAGGCAGCAGUAGGGAAUCUUCCGCAAUGGGCGAAAGCCUGACGGAGCAACGCCGCGUGAGUGAUGAAGGUCUUCGGAUCGUAAAGCUCUGUUAUUAGGGAAGAACAAAUGUGUAAGUAACUAUGCACGUCUUGACGGUACCUAAUCAGAAAGCCACGGCUAACUACGUG
Molecule: ribosomal RNA, 497 nt
Filed under: uncultured bacterium
Lineage: Bacteria
Description: partial 16S ribosomal RNA
Rfam family: Bacterial small subunit ribosomal RNA
Source: RNAcentral